RNAcentral lists this ribosomal RNA (195 nucleotides) under Triticum aestivum (bread wheat). RNAcentral describes it as "partial small subunit ribosomal RNA". The record is from RNAcentral. Lineage: Eukaryota; Viridiplantae; Streptophyta; Magnoliopsida; Poales; Poaceae.
AUGUGUGUCCCUAAGAAACAAAGAAAGAUGAGAUUUUGUGAUACUCAUAGUUUAAAUUUGGCAAUGCUCGCCAAACAGGCGUGGCGUCUUCUUGGGAAUCUUGAUUUCUUAUGUGCUACUAUUCUGAGGGCUAAGUACUACCCCGAUGAUAAUUUGUUGACUAUUAAGUUAAAGGAGGGCUCUUCUUUUACCUAG